AUGUGGAUUGGAAGAACUUCAGCAAUGGGUUACAUGGUGGUAGCCAUGUUGAUAUGCUUUUUAUGUGCAUCCAGCGGUCUCACUUCAGUAGAUUCAUAUGAACGCUUGCAAAACAAUGGGACGUUUUUAACAUCACCAAGGUCAACCUCGUUUGUGUUAGCUGGGAGGAACAAAUACAAAGGCAACAAUGAUUACAAUCAUGUAGCUGGCUGGGUCACGCCAGCAAGCAGCUACGGCGCUCGAGUUAAAAUAGGUAUAUGGGGUUCGCAAGUACAACAUCAUUCCCAAGAAUCCGGGGCAGCAAUAAGUAUCAGCACUGAUGAUCAAGAUAAGACCUACAAUAUGAUCGAAGCUGGAUUUCAUGUACUUCCUGAGUUAUAUAAUAAUAAUGAUGUCCAUUUCUUUAUACGAUGGACGAAAGACGACAACAAAUCAACGGGCUGUUAUAAUUUGGAAUGCCAUGGUUUUGUGCCUGCUAGUGGAGCUGCACUUGUUCCGGGUCAAGCUGUUGCUCCUCCCUCAACUUACGGCCGGGACGAUCGCUACAUAACAAUUAGCCUGCAUACAGAUCCAAACACGAGAGAUUGGGUGUUGUAUCGAGACGAUUUGCAUAAACCUGCAUUUUUGGGGCAUUUUCCAAAAGAGCUUUGUCCUAGACUGUAUGGUAUAGCCCCCGAAGUAGCAUUGCUUGGAUUUGUCAAUUACCAGGAUAAGGAUAAAGGUGGUCCCGCAAUGGGUAGCGGUCAUUUUCCAGAAGAGGGCCAAAGGAAAGCAGCAUACUUUAAGAAUAUCAAGCUCUUUGAUUCCAAAGCUAAUGUAUAUGAUCCGAGUGGCUUGGUUAGACUUGUCACCAGGCCAGCAUGUUACAAAGUGAGUGACGUUCUCCAUGCUAAAAAGGACGGCCAUAUGUUUUACUAUGGAGGUCCAGCUGGUUGUAUGGGUUGA
This 945-nucleotide ribosomal RNA is filed under the name Triticum aestivum (bread wheat). RNAcentral's name for it is "partial small subunit ribosomal RNA". Lineage: Eukaryota; Viridiplantae; Streptophyta; Magnoliopsida; Poales; Poaceae. The record is from RNAcentral.